AGUGUUCCAUUUCGGAAGUUGUUCACUUUUAUGCCGCGGUGACACAAUAGAAAAAAAUAGUUUCGCGUUCACUUUUGCAAUUUUCUAUAUGCGAUGCUGCGGGGACAAAAUUGUCGAAAUUGAAUUC
This is a long non-coding RNA of Bradysia coprophila, 127 nucleotides long. The record is from RefSeq and is a predicted model, not a curated record. NCBI's taxonomy places the organism in Eukaryota, Metazoa, Arthropoda, Insecta, Diptera, Sciaridae.